Molecule: long non-coding RNA, 1663 nt
Filed under: Homo sapiens (human)
Lineage: Eukaryota; Metazoa; Chordata; Mammalia; Primates; Hominidae
Description: HSALNT0365108
Source: RNAcentral
GAAAAUGGGAGGCAGAGGGGAAGAGCAUGCAGUCAGCACUUGGUGAUCCCUGAGCCAAACUCCACAGCCUCCUGCCUUCUGGCCGGUGACAGAGAUUACCAUCUGGGGGAAGAGGCAGACACAGAUGCCAGCCCAGCCAGGUGGAAGAUAAUAUAUGUUAUAAUAGAGACAUCUUCAAAGCUCUUCCAAAGUGGAGAAUGGCAUCCUGCUAGAGAUUGGCGCCCAAUGAAUGCUAGUAUUAAUGAAUCUGUUAACAAAGGAAAGCUUAGGACACUUUGUGUUUCCCCAAAAGAAUGUUUUAACUUCAGACACAGAGGCCACGCAGUGGGGAUGUGGACUGGAAUGGUAUUGCCUGUGAACUAUGACCUGGCACAAAGUAGCUUAUCAGUAAUGUUUGCCAAUACUGUUUUUAAAGUUCCAGCAGCCAGUCUUCAGAAUUGUCCUCUUUCCUGUGGCCAUGGCCAUGAUGACAUUUUGUUCAUGAAUUCAUGCAUGAUUUAUUUAUUGAGCAUCUACCUCUGGGAACAUGAGAUUUGUUUGUUUUCUCCAAGAGUGAGUGACCCAUGGGGAGCCAUGGGUUCCUGUGUCCAAGACCAGACAUUCUCAGGGAGCAUCUGCUUCCCCCAUCAGGAAGGAACGAGCUUUCAUACCUAGUUUAAGUUAACGAACCCAGUGAGCUAUGAACAGCCUCCUUGCCGGCUGUUGUUCCUCCCUCCAGCCUGUCCUGCCCACUGCAGCUAGACAGAGCUUCCUAAAAGCUUGCUUUCAUCCUGUCACUUCUUACUCGAGGGCCUACAAGAGACUUCCACAUCUGGAUUAUAUCUUUCAAAGCCAGUGUAAUUUGGCCUCUUUCUCUGAGCCAAAUGGACUUCCACUGCUAGUCUUCACCAACCCCAGUUCUGCAUAGUCACGUUCACUCCCUGGUCCUCGAGCAAAUUCAGCUUGUUUUCUGGUUUGAGAGUUCUCAGGCUUGCUCAGGUGGCGGAGCAGUUGGCACCCUGGUGUUCCUUGGGGACACCAUGGCCUACUCUUAUAUUGAAUUCCAAAGUAUAAACUAGGCACCAUUUUACUUGCUAAAGAUUACUUCAUUUGUGGUCAUUAUUAACUCAUGACCCAGAACUGAGAAAUACAUAGCCCGUCAAGCAGGAUUGGCCAUUUUCUUACUGAUCUGUUCAUAUUAACGUGUUCCUUGCUCAUUUGUUUUGCUGAUCCAGUAGGCUAUCAGGAGUAGAUAUUAAUGGUUUAAGAAAAUGUAAUGGAAGAAAAAUACCUCCUUAAAUUUGGGAUCAUUCUAUUUAUUAACUUAGUUUUCUUCCCUUGGAAAUCAGGCAAGCACUGCCAUUUUUCAUGAAAAUGCCUCUGGCCAAUGUGAACUCCAUGACACCAGGGACUUCAGCUGUCUUAAUUAGUGUUAUAGCCCAGCAUCCAGCCUAGGGCCUGGCACAUGGCAGAUCAGGGCUUGAGAUAUUUUGCAGACCCUGCACCUGACGGAUCAGCUGGCACCACCCAGAUCAAUAAACUGCCUCAUCUGAUCUGGCGGCCCCCGCCCAGGAACUGACUGAGCGCAAGAAGACAGCUCCAACUCUAUAUGAUUUCAUCCCUGACCAAUCAGCAUUCCUGGCUCACUGGCUUCCCCCCACCCACCAAGUUAUCCUUAAAAACU